GUUCGUGGAGGGGAGGUACCGCUGCGUGCGCAAUGGAGAUGUUGGUAGCGGUUCGUUCCUGAGGCGGGGUUCUCCUCCUCCUCCGCCGGUCUCGUCGGUUACGUUGGUUUUCUUGAGGGUGGACUGCCUUGCAGAGAGAGUGACUUGUAUGGUGCCCGUCAGCUUCCUUCUGGGAAUUCCCUUUUCUACUUGGAAACGUGUUUUAUUUCCUACCAGCGUAACUUCCUCUCAAAAACACGAACUUCUCCAUUUUUUUUUCCUGAAUAGUAAGAUAAAGUUGCUUGAACCUAUUUUCAGACUUACCCUAUGUUUUCCAGUCUCCUGGCGUCCAGUUUCUUCCUUUAACUAGUUUUGAAAUGUCACUAGUUUGUCCAUUUCUUCUAGAAGCUUGUGUGGGUGCUUCUGGAGCAGGGCUGUGCUGCUGUAACGUUGGAGGUAUAGCUGUGAGGUAGCUCUGUGACACACCAGGGGUGCUGGCUUCCAUGUAAAGCUGUUGCAUUAAGUAAACUCCUGCAAGGCCAGCACCAAAGCCUUCAUACGCCUCUGGAAGCAUGUACAGGACUGUUUCUAUUGCUUUGAGUGUGAGGCCAGUAGUAAUAAAACUAUUUUAAAUGGAGGAAGACUAUGCUAUCCUGCGUGUGUGGCUUUUUUAUUUAUGCUGACAGGGAUGAUGUAGUUAUGGAUGGAUGAGUAAGUUUGGACCUCCUAUGUCUCUGUGUUAAUAGGCCGCUGAUGUGGAUAAACUGGCAUCCAAGGAAGUCAGAACCACAGAUUGAAAAUUUUUGAGCCGAAGGGCUCCCUUUCUCCCUGACUUGGAGAGAGAAGAGCAAAUGAAAAAAAUUGAUGUAAAAGUAACAAGCCUGAUUUCAGUAGCUCAGAAGCUGUUCAGUGGCAGCUCUCUGGCAAUCAUAAUCUAUGCUGCUUUGCUGUAAGCCUACAUAUGCUACUGUAGUAAAUAUUCUUCUCUUUCCAACUGUUAGUAAAAACAACAACAUCUUGCUCUGCAGAACGAAUAUAGAAAUUGCAAUUUCUUACAAUCCACCUUAGAACCAUAAAGAAAAUACCUCCUGGGUCAGGUCAGACAACUUCCUAUGAAUCUCUGGGUAUGUUUGUAGUGCUUAGCGGACAACAGUAAAUUUGGAGGAAUACAGCUACAGCUUUUUGUGGAUACACCAGCUCAAGUCUGUAAGCAGUGAUGCUGUUCUGUUUUGCCAACUGGACAAUGUGUUUGCACUGAUUUCUGAACCAUGCUGACUCACCUGGGCAACUGACUGUGCCAGUGAAUAAAAACAGAGCUUAUCUUUAGCACAGCACAGCUUUUCUGAAUCUGACAAUGCCAGAUCUUUGCUUACUGAAAUCAAGCUCAUCAUGUAAUCUGAACUGGGACUUUUGAUGUAAUUAACUGGAGUGCUCUCACAACUAUUCUCUUAUUUACAAAAUUUUGUGACAUUCUCAUUUGUUGAAAACAAGCUUUUUUCCUAUUUUCCCUAAUUGUGAAUUUGUGUAUGUACUUAGUGAAAGGAACGUAUGAUACUGUAUGUAGAAUGUCAUGGGGUUUUAAUGGAAACCCUCAUAAACGGUUGCAGAUAUGUUUGUAAUCCCUAGGACAUCUCAUUUAACUUCCAUUUUUAUUAUUCAGAAACAAACGUGUUUUGUAACACUUCAAUAAUAUGCUUCUGUUUGUCCAAUCUUUGUCAAUAAAUUUGACAGGGAUACAGGUCUGUGCACUUCAACUAAUUUCUAAAAAAAAAAAAGGGUAUCAGUGGGCAAGCUAACUACAGGUAAUCUUAUUGCAACGGUAUGCUAACUUUCUGUGUAAGUUGAUGUGGGAGAAAUCUGCAUGGGACCUUAAUAUUUACUCUCAACAGUAAAAAGCAUUCUAUAAAAUCUCUGAAAGCUUCAGUAAAGUAGCAGGCAUGGCAGGUGAAUCUCAGAAGGCUGGGAUGCUUGUAUUGCUUUAGUGUUUCCAAAUAUGGGGCAGGGAUGGUGUGUGUAAAAGAUACAAAAUGAAACAGAGCAAGAGUAAAUUUACUCACCUUGCCCACAUUAUGCAAUUC
Numida meleagris (helmeted guineafowl) is the source of this 2057-nucleotide long non-coding RNA. RefSeq lists it as uncharacterized. The record is from RefSeq and is a predicted model, not a curated record. Lineage: Eukaryota; Metazoa; Chordata; Aves; Galliformes; Numididae. The transcript has 3 exons.